UAGGGAAUCUUCCGCAAUGGGCGAAAGCCUGACGGAGCAACGCCGCGUGAGUGAAGAAGGAUUUCGGUUCGUAAAGCUCUGUUGUUAGGGAAGAAUGAUUGUGUAGUAACUAUACAUAGUAGAGACGGUACCUAACCAGAAAGCCACGGCUAACUACGUGCCAGCAGCCGCGGUAAUACGUAGGUGGCAAGCGUUGUCCGGAAUUAUUGGGCGCAAAGCGCGCGCAGGUGGUUUAAUAAGUCUGAUGUGAAAGCCCACGGCUCAACCGUGGAGGGUCAUUGGAAACUGUUAAACUUGAGUGCAGGAGAGAAAAGUGGAAUUCCUAGUGUAGCGGUGAAAUGCGUAGAGAUUAGGAGGAACACCAGUGGCGAAGGCGGCUUUUUGGCCUGUAACUGACACUGAGGCGCGAAAGCGUGGGGAGCAAACAGGAUUAGAUACCCUGGUAGUCCACGCCGUANCGAUGAGUGCUAAGUGUUGGUCUCAUAAGAGAUCAGUGCUGCAGCUAACGCAUUAAGCACUCCGCCUGGGGAGUACGACCGCAAGGUUG
This 547-nucleotide ribosomal RNA is filed under the name uncultured bacterium. Its description in RNAcentral is "bacterial SSU rRNA". It matches the Rfam family "Bacterial small subunit ribosomal RNA", at positions 355 to 896 of the family's 1533-position model. The record is from RNAcentral.